Molecule: ribosomal RNA, 428 nt
Filed under: Acidobacteriota bacterium
Lineage: Bacteria; Pseudomonadati; Acidobacteriota
Description: Acidobacteria bacterium partial 16S ribosomal RNA
Rfam family: Bacterial small subunit ribosomal RNA
Source: RNAcentral
UGGGGAAUUUUGGACAAUGGGGAAACCCUUAUCCAGCCAUCCCGCGUGUGCGAUGAAGGCCUUCGGGUUGUAAAGCACUUUUUGCAGGAAAGAAACGUCAUGGGUUAAUACCCCGUGAAACUGACGGGACCUGCAGAAUAAGCACCGGCUAACUACGUGCCAGCAGCCGCGGUAAUACGUAGGGUUCAAGCGUUAAUCGGAAUUACUGGGCGUAAAGCGUGCGCAGGCGGUUCGGAAAGAAAGAUGUGAAAUCCCAGAGCUCAACUUUGGAACUGCAUUUUUAACUACCGGGCUAGAGUGUGUCAGAGGGAGGUGGAAUUCCGCGUGUAGCAGUGAAAUGCGUAGAUAUGCGGAGGAACACCGAUGGCGAAGGCAGCCUCCUGGGAUAACACUGACGCUCAUGCACGAAAGCGUGGGGAGCAAACAGG